Mauremys reevesii (Reeves's turtle) is the source of this 494-nucleotide non-coding RNA. Lineage: Eukaryota; Metazoa; Chordata; Testudines; Geoemydidae. The record is from the annotation of a RefSeq genome assembly.
ACUGUUCUGCUACUGCAGGGGAGCUGAGAAGAAUAGCCAUGACCUGUUGGGUCAGUUUUCUCCUCUUGUUGGCAGCUCUCCCAGGGGUGAAGGCUCAGAUCCAGCUGGCCCAGUCUGGUGCAGAGGUGAAGAAGCCGGGGGAGUCUGUGAAGCUGUCCUGUAAAGGCUCUGGUUACACAUUCACUAGCUAUGCAAUCAGCUGGGUCCAACAGAUUCCCGGGAAAGGGCUGUUUGAUAUCGGCUGGAUUAGCACCGAUACAGGGGCACCAACCUACAGGGAGAAUUUUAAAGGGAAAGUCACCAUGACUGUGGACAAGCCCCUCAGCACGGCCUUUCUGCAAGUGAGCAGCCUGAGGGCUGAAGACACUGCAGUGUAUUAUUGUGCCAGAUACACACAGAGAGAGAAACCUCAUUCGGGGUCAUUCAGAAAAGGGAACUGGAUUGAAGUUACAGCCAGUGGCCUGGCAAGGAGCAGGUGUCUCUUCCUCCCCUGA